AUACUCUGGUUUCUCUUCAGAUCACAUAAAUCUUUCACCUUUUACUAAAGAUUCCUGUGGAGAGGAGCAACUUUGAGUUUUUAGCUAAUUUUUUGAGGCUUUGAUUUAGCAAAACA
This is a small nuclear RNA of Callithrix jacchus (white-tufted-ear marmoset), 116 nucleotides long. Its record names the gene U5. It matches the Rfam family "U5 spliceosomal RNA". From Rfam's summary of the family: U5 RNA is a component of both types of known spliceosome. The precise function of this molecule is unknown, though it is known that the 5' loop is required for splice site selection and p220 binding, and that both the 3' stem-loop and the Sm site are important for Sm protein binding and cap methylation. NCBI's taxonomy places the organism in Eukaryota, Metazoa, Chordata, Mammalia, Primates, Cebidae. The record is from Ensembl.